Molecule: long non-coding RNA, 248 nt
Filed under: Polistes fuscatus (common paper wasp)
Lineage: Eukaryota; Metazoa; Arthropoda; Insecta; Hymenoptera; Vespidae
Description: uncharacterized LOC122516278
Source: RNAcentral
GGUUCCUUCGAUGGAAUUCCAUCUCGCUUCGGUGCGCGCAUAAAUUACUGCUUUCAAAUGCAAAAGUAUGAAUAAGUCCCGCAUAGGAAUUGGAUUACAUAGGUAGAGAUGCAAGGGUGCAGACGAAGGCUGCCGAGAGGGUGGAGAAUGGGAACGAGAGAAACACGGCGAUAAGGGACGACGAAGCGUUCCAAGUACCGGUGAGCGACUUGCUCGUGAAACCGGUAGGACGAGGAGGACUAGAGGGA